UCACAAAUGUCCCCGACACUGGGACAGGCA
This 30-nucleotide non-coding RNA is filed under the name Rattus norvegicus (Norway rat). The record is from RNAcentral. Lineage: Eukaryota; Metazoa; Chordata; Mammalia; Rodentia; Muridae.